This 390-nucleotide long non-coding RNA is filed under the name Dromaius novaehollandiae (emu). Its description in RNAcentral is "lncRNA (ENSDNVG00000004179.1)". The record is from RNAcentral. Lineage: Eukaryota; Metazoa; Chordata; Aves; Casuariiformes; Dromaiidae.
UGAACUUCUGGAAUUACAAUAACUUCUGUUAAUAUGUGUGAUACAGAUUCCUGGAAACUUGAGGAGCAGUCUUCCAGCGGCUGAGGAAUGCAGUUCUCCCCGGAUGUGUGGGUAUCUUGCAUAAAUCGAACUGAAGUGGGAUGGACUGGUAGUAAGAAGCAUGACUUCAUCAAGAGAUUCAGGAAUACUUUGGAGUGAAUUGGCAGGAAGCCUUGCAAUACAACUUUGACAAUAAUAGUCGCUGUCCUCUGGAGAUGUUGAAGCUAAGCUUUCUUGUGAACUUCCUUCUUGCACCUCUCCACAUGUGCACAAAGGACUUAACACUGUUUAGAAUUCGUAUGGUAUAAAAUAAUCAUGGAUAUGCUUUUUUCUUCCUUGACUUGAUGUCUG